CUACACACGUGCUACAAUGGACAGAACAAAGGGCUGCGAGACCGCAAGGUUUAGCCAAUCCCAUAAAUCUGUUCUCAGUUCGGAUCGCAGUCUGCAACUCGACUGCGUGAAGCUGGAAUCGCUAGUAAUCGCGGAUCAGCAUGCCGCGGUGAAUACGUUCCCGGGCCUUGUACACACCGCCCGUCACACCACGAGAGUUUGYAACACCCGAAGUCGGUGAGGUAACCUUUAUGGAGCCAGCCGCCGAAGGUGGGRCAGAUGAUUGGGGUGAAGUCGUAACAAGGUAGCCGUAUCGGAAGGUGCGGCUGGAUCACCUCCUUUCUAAGGA
This 328-nucleotide ribosomal RNA is filed under the name Bacillus pumilus. Its description in RNAcentral is "bacterial SSU rRNA". It matches the Rfam family "Bacterial small subunit ribosomal RNA", at positions 1214 to 1533 of the family's 1533-position model. The record is from RNAcentral. Lineage: Bacteria; Bacillati; Bacillota; Bacilli; Caryophanales; Bacillaceae.